Molecule: long non-coding RNA, 634 nt
Filed under: Homo sapiens (human)
Lineage: Eukaryota; Metazoa; Chordata; Mammalia; Primates; Hominidae
Description: HSALNT0263512
Source: RNAcentral
AUUCAAAUUCACAGUCAGGGUUUCCUGCAUAAAUUCAACCCUUGAGAAUCAAUCUAAUAGAUUUUUUUGGAGAAUUUGAUCCUUUUCAUGUGGAGGAGUGAUUAGGUUCUAGAGACAGGCCAGUUGCAGGGAGGGGAUUUUCCAGGUCUCCAGGGCUGGGCUGCCUCUUCUCCAGACUGAUCACUUUCUUCAGCUUCUGUGAAAGCUUCCUUCCCUAGGUAUUCUCUCUCUCUCUUUGUGUGUUUCUCUUUCUCUCCCCAUCUUGCCUUCUCUCUUUUUCUUUCUUUCUGCAGGUGUCUUUGCUGAAUACUUCUCUAUUCCACUGAAUUUUUGCAGUCCUUAAUGAUCUGCUCAUGUCCUCCAGUUCCAGGGACCCUUUAACCACAUCCCCUCUGCAGCCUUCCAGAUUGCAGAGGCAGGUCCUUUAACCAUGCCCAAACUGUUCUCUAGUCAUGAGUCAUUGCUUUGGGCCUCUUAGCUACUCCCCAUGUCAGAUCAACAAUAAUAGAUGUAAAGACCCCUAAACAUAGCUCCGAUACCAUGUCCCCUUGGCCCUCCAAUUCUAGGGCCCAGUCCUGCUAAUGAUACCCACACAUCAUCCCUUUAAUAACUGGUCUGAGGCAACCUAGCCAUA